CUCUUACAUUAAAGACAUAACAGUGAAAAAGGAUUGUACUGUAUUUAUCACCACAGACCCGUAUUCUUUAGAAACUUUGGAAAAUAAAUGUCACAGUCCUAUAGGACAGCUCUUAUGAUUAGACUGUCAGCAUGUUGUCUUUUUUCGGAGCACGCCGGCAUCAUUCUGAAAUAAACUUUAGUGACAACGUCAAAAUGUUCAAGGCUUUAAAACCACAACGUGUUUUGUGUUGCUUUCACUCUUGUAGAAUGUUCACAGCUAGUUUGAGCCCAUCAAUUUCAUAGAGAAUCAUGUGUUAAAAAUAAGUAAAUUGAAUGACCAAAUAAAUUAAAAAUGUUUUAAAGCCCUGAGUUCAUAGACUGGUUUUAGGAGAUUUUUAGGAAACACGGGACUCUAUUUCAGUAAGCAGCUUAUAAGAUUUUGGCAAACCAUAUUUCCUACGACAAUGGGGGUCUCAUACA
This 461-nucleotide long non-coding RNA is filed under the name Bos taurus (domestic cattle). RNAcentral's name for it is "long non-coding RNA NONBTAT005904". Lineage: Eukaryota; Metazoa; Chordata; Mammalia; Artiodactyla; Bovidae. The record is from RNAcentral.